UACGUAGGCAGCAAGCGUUGUUCGGAGUUACUGGGCGUAAAGGGUGUGUAGGCGGUUCUUUAAGUUUGGUGUGAAAUCUCCCGGCUCAACCGGGAGGGUGCGCCGAAUACUGAGGGACUAGAGUGCGGGAGAGGAAAGUGGAAUUCCUGGUGUAGCGGUGAAAUGCGUAGAUAUCAGGAGGAACACCGGUGGUGUAGACGGCUUUCUGGACCGUAACUGACGCUGAGACACGAAAGCGUGGGUAGUAAACAGG
Molecule: ribosomal RNA, 253 nt
Filed under: uncultured bacterium
Lineage: Bacteria
Description: partial 16S ribosomal RNA
Rfam family: Bacterial small subunit ribosomal RNA
Source: RNAcentral